RNAcentral lists this long non-coding RNA (208 nucleotides) under Lathyrus oleraceus (garden pea). RNAcentral describes it as "Pisum sativum (pea) long non-coding RNA (PSAT_LNC008116)". The record is from RNAcentral. Lineage: Eukaryota; Viridiplantae; Streptophyta; Magnoliopsida; Fabales; Fabaceae.
CAAAAAUUCUAAACUUAAUUAGAUAUAGAUAACAAAUAAAUAAUAAAAUUAAAUAUAAUAAAUAAUAAUAGUAAUAAAACAAACAAAUAAUAAAAAUAAAAAUAAAAAAAAGAAUGAAAAAUGGCAUGAAAAGUGACUCCACGUGGAAUCAACAACAAAUUAUCUUCUUAUUUUUAAAUUCAUUUUUUUUAAUUUCAAGAAAAAAAAC